GACGAACGCUGGCGGCGUGCUUAACACAUGCAAGUCGAACGGAAAGGCCCUGCUUUUGUGGGGUGCUCGAGUGGCGAACGGGUGAGUAACACGUGAGUAACCUGCCCUUGACUUUGGGAUAACUUCAGGAAACUGGGGCUAAUACCGGAUAGGAGCUCCUGCUGCAUGGUGGGGGUUGGAAAGUUUCGGCGGUUGGGGCUGGACUCGCGGCUUAUCAGCUUGUUGGUGGGGUAGUGGCGUACCAAGGCUUUGACGGGUAGCCGGCAUGAGAGGGUGACCGGGCACAUUGGGACUGAGAUACGGCCCAGACUCCUACGGGAGGCAGCAGUGGGGAAUAUUGCACAAUGGGCGGAAGCCUGAUGCAGCAACGCCGCGUGCGGGAUGACGGCCUUCGGGUGGUAAACCGCUUUCGCCUGUGACGAAGCGUGAGUGACGGUAAUGGGUAAAGAAGCACCGGCUAACUACGUG
RNAcentral lists this ribosomal RNA (468 nucleotides) under uncultured bacterium. RNAcentral's name for it is "partial 16S ribosomal RNA". It matches the Rfam family "Bacterial small subunit ribosomal RNA", at positions 28 to 507 of the family's 1533-position model. The record is from RNAcentral.